This 468-nucleotide ribosomal RNA is filed under the name uncultured bacterium. RNAcentral describes it as "partial 16S ribosomal RNA". It matches the Rfam family "Bacterial small subunit ribosomal RNA", at positions 28 to 507 of the family's 1533-position model. The record is from RNAcentral.
GACGAACGCUGGCGGCGUGCUUAACACAUGCAAGUCGAACGGAAGGGCCCUGCUUUUGUGGGGUGCUCGAGUGGCGAACGGGUGAGUAACACGUGAGUAACCUGCCCUUGACUUUGAGAUAACUUCAGGAAACUGGGGCUAAUACCGGAUAGGAGCUCCUGCUGCAUGGUGGGGGUUGGAAAGUUUCGGCGGUUGGGGAUGGACUCGCGGCUUAUCAGCUUGUUGGUGGGGUAGUGGCUUACCAAGGCUUUGACGGGUAGCCGGCCUGAGAGGGUGACCGGCCACAUUGGGACUGAGAUACGGCCCAGACUCCUACGGGAGGCAGCAGUGGGGAAUAUUGCACAAUGGGCGGAAGCCUGAUGCAGCAACGCCGCGUGCGGGAUGACGGCCUUCGGGUUGUAAACCGCUUUCGCCUGUGACGAAGCGUGAGUGACGGUAAUGGGUAAAGAAGCACCGGCUAACUACGUG